GUGGGGAAUAUUGGACAAUGGGCGAAAGCCUGAUCCAGCCAUGCCGCGUGUGUGAAGAAGGUCUUCGGAUUGUAAAGCACUUUAAGUUGGGAGGAAGGGCAGUAAGUUAAUACCUUGCUGUUUUGACGUUACCAACAGAAUAAGCACCGGCUAACUUCGUGCCAGCAGCCGCGGUAAUACGAAGGGUGCAAGCGUUAAUCGGAAUUACUGGGCGUAAAGCGCGCGUAGGUGGUUCAGCAAGUUGAAGGUGAAAUCCCCGGGCUCAACCUGGGAACUGCCUCCAAAACUACUGAGCUAGAGUACGGUAGAGGGUAGUGGAAUUUCCUGUGUAGCGGUGAAAUGCGUAGAUAUAGGAAGGAACACCAGUGGCGAAGGCGACUACCUGGACUGAUACUGACACUGAGGUGCGAAAGCGUGGGGAGCAAACAGGAUUAGAAACCCCGGUAGUCC
This 450-nucleotide ribosomal RNA is filed under the name uncultured bacterium. RNAcentral describes it as "bacterial SSU rRNA". It matches the Rfam family "Bacterial small subunit ribosomal RNA", at positions 354 to 796 of the family's 1533-position model. The record is from RNAcentral.